Molecule: ribosomal RNA, 489 nt
Filed under: uncultured bacterium
Lineage: Bacteria
Description: bacterial SSU rRNA
Rfam family: Bacterial small subunit ribosomal RNA
Source: RNAcentral
UAGCGACAGGCUUAACACAUGCAAGCGAGGGCAGCAUAGAAGUAGCAAUACUCGGUGGCGACCGGCGCACGGGUGAGUAACGCGUAUGCAACCUACCUAUCAGAGGGGAAUAACCCGGCGAAAGUCGGACUAAUACCGCAUAAAACAGGGGCACCGCAUGGUGAUAUUUGUUAAAGAAAUUCGCUGAUAGAUGGGCAUGCGUUCCAUUAGGUAGUUGGUGAGGUAACGGCUCACCAAGCCGACGAUGGAUAGGGGAACUGAGAGGUUGGUCCCCCACACUGGUACUGAGACACGGACCAGACUCCUACGGGAGGCAGCAGUGAGGAAUAUUGGUCAAUGGGCGGGAGCCUGAACCAGCCAAGUCGCGUGAAGGGAAAAGAAGGAUCUAUGGUUCGUAAACUUCUUUUGCAGGGGAAUAAAGUGCAGGACGUGUCCUGUUUUGUAUGUACCCUGAGAAUAAGGAUCGGCUAACUCCGUGCCAGCAGCUGC